Molecule: long non-coding RNA, 317 nt
Organism: Ipomoea triloba (trilobed morning glory)
Lineage: Eukaryota; Viridiplantae; Streptophyta; Magnoliopsida; Solanales; Convolvulaceae
Exons: 2
Source: RefSeq, a predicted model, not a curated record
GUAUACAUACUACACACUAUCUAAUGUAUUAAAACAUACGUGUAAUGUAUACAUACUACACACUAUCUACUACGGAGUAUAAUAUUAGAAUUAUCUAGAAGACCCUCCAGAAUUCCUUCGCCCAUCUCUGGUCUAUUGUUCUCUAUACUUGCACAUCCAGAAAAUCCAUCGACACUCUUGUUGCAGUACAGAUCUGGAAAGCAUUCCUAUCUAAAGUUUAGCUAGCAGCGACGAUGAAUCAUCUUCGAAACCUGGAGUUAACAGGAUUUUUCAUUAAUUUGGGGAUGGUUGAUAUAUCAUAAUGGUUCAUAAAAAAA